RNAcentral lists this ribosomal RNA (508 nucleotides) under uncultured bacterium. RNAcentral's name for it is "partial 16S ribosomal RNA". It matches the Rfam family "Bacterial small subunit ribosomal RNA", at positions 30 to 523 of the family's 1533-position model. The record is from RNAcentral.
AUUGAACGCUGGCGGCAGGCCUAACACAUGCAAGUCGAGCGGCAGCGGGAAAGUAGCUUGCUACUUUUGCCGGCGAGCGGCGGACGGGUGAGUAAUGCCUGGGAAAUUGCCCAGUCGAGGGGGAUAACAGUUGGAAACGACUGCUAAUACCGCAUACGCCCUACGGGGGAAAGCAGGGGACCUUCGGGCCUUGCGCGAUUGGAUAUGCCCAGGUGGGAUUAGCUAGUUGGUGAGGUAAUGGCUCACCAAGGGGACGAUCCCUAGCUGGUCUGAGAGGAUGAUCAGCCACACUGGAACUGAGACACGGUCCAGACUCCUACGGGAGGCAGCAGUGGGGAAUAUUGCACAAUGGGGGAAACCCUGAUGCAGCCAUGCCGCGUGUGUGAAGAAGGCCUUCGGGUUGUAAAGCACUUUCAGCGAGGAGGAAAGGUUGAUGCCUAAUACGUAUCAACUGUGACGUUACUCGCAGAAGAAGCACCGGCUAACUCCGUGCCAGCAGCCGCGGUAA